This 254-nucleotide ribosomal RNA is filed under the name uncultured bacterium. Its description in RNAcentral is "partial 16S ribosomal RNA". It matches the Rfam family "Bacterial small subunit ribosomal RNA", at positions 524 to 776 of the family's 1533-position model. The record is from RNAcentral.
GACGAACCGUGCGAACGUUAUUCGGAAUCACUGGGCUUAAAGCGCGUGUAGGCGGGCGGGAACGUCGGUUGCUGAAAGCCCCCGGCUCAACCGGGGAACGGGCGCCGAAACGACCCGCCUCGAGGGACGUAGGGGGACCUGGAACUUCCGGUGGAGCGGUGAAAUGCGUUGAGAUCGGAAGGAACGCCCGUGGCGAAAGCGAGGUCCUGGACGUCUUCUGACGCUGAGACGCGAAAGCUAGGGGAGCGAACGGG